GCUCUUAGAAUAAAUUAAAAGUGCAACCUGCCCUAUGGUUUGCAAAAGUUAGUAAAUUAACGAUAAACUCAAACUAAAUGGCCGCGGUAACUCUGACCGUGAUAAUGUAGCGAAAUCAAUCGUCGUUUAAUUGACGACCAGUAUGAAUGGUUAAACGAAUUCUCCACUGUCUCGAAAAUAAAAUCGCUUAAAUUAAAAUAAUAGUGAAGAUGCUAUUUUAAAACUAUAAGACGAGAAGACCCUAUAGAGCUUAACUAUAAUCUAUCUGAUAAAACCGAUUAAAUAUUAUUUUAAAGAUAGAUUGGUAGUUUGGUUGGGGCGACCGUUUUCUAAAAGUAACGAAAACAAACAAUGGUAAUUAAUAAAAACUAACUUAAUUGUUUAAUAAAUAAAUUUAACAAAUACUAAAGUAGGUUAUAAUGACCCGUUAUUUUCUUAAAAUAGAAUUAACGAUAAAUAAAUAAAAGCUACCUUAGGGAUAACAGCGUAAUCUUGUUUUAGAGUUCUUAUCGACAACAAGGUUUGCGACCUCGAUGUUGAAUUGCGAUAUCCUGAGGGUGCAGAAGCUCUCAAGGGUUGGUCUGUUCGACCAUUAAAAU
This 599-nucleotide ribosomal RNA is filed under the name Olindias tenuis. RNAcentral's name for it is "partial large subunit ribosomal RNA". It matches the Rfam family "Bacterial large subunit ribosomal RNA", at positions 1832 to 2594 of the family's 2925-position model. Lineage: Eukaryota; Metazoa; Cnidaria; Hydrozoa; Limnomedusae; Olindiidae. The record is from RNAcentral.